GCUGGUGUAGCUCAGCAGGUAGAGCAACGCAUUCGUAAUGCGUAGGGCAUCGGUUCAAUUCCGGUCACCAGCU
RNAcentral lists this transfer RNA (73 nucleotides) under Ignavibacteriaceae bacterium. RNAcentral's name for it is "tRNA-Thr". It matches the Rfam family "tRNA". From Rfam's summary of the family: Transfer RNA (tRNA) molecules are approximately 80 nucleotides in length. Their secondary structure includes four short double-helical elements and three loops (D, anti-codon, and T loops). Lineage: Bacteria; Pseudomonadati; Ignavibacteriota; Ignavibacteria; Ignavibacteriales; Ignavibacteriaceae. The record is from RNAcentral.